Molecule: ribosomal RNA, 1501 nt
Filed under: uncultured prokaryote
Description: partial 16S ribosomal RNA
Rfam family: Bacterial small subunit ribosomal RNA
Source: RNAcentral
AGAGUUUGAUCCUGGCUCAGAUUGAACGCUGGCGGCAGGCCUAACACAUGCAAGUCGAGCGGAAACAGAGAGUAACUUGUUACUUUGCUGUCGAGCGGCGGACGGGUGAGUAAUGCUUGGGAAACUGCCCAGUCGAGGGGGACAACCAUUGGAAACGAUGGCUAAUACCGCAUACGCCACUCCUGUUAAAGGGAAUGCUUCGGAGCCUUUCGCGAUUGGAUGUGCCCAAGUGGGAUUAGCUAGUUGGUGAGGUAAAGGCUCACCAAGGCAACGAUCCCUAGCUGGUUUGAGAGGAUGAUCAGCCACACUGGAACUGAGACACGGUCCAGACUCCUACGGGAGGCAGCAGUGGGGAAUAUUGCACAAUGGGCGCAAGCCUGAUGCAGCCAUGCCGCGUGUGUGAAGAAGGCCUUCGGGUUGUAAAGCACUUUCAGCGAGGAGGAAAGGGGUGUAUUAAUAAAUGCUAUCUGUGACGUUACUCGCAGAAGAAGCACCGGCUAACUUCGUGCCAGCAGCCGCGGUAAUACGAGGGGUGCAAGCGUUAAUCGGAAUUACUGGGCGUAAAGCGUGCGUAGGUGGUUUGUUAAGCAAGAUGUGAAAGCCCCGGGCUCAACCUGGGAACUGCAUUUUGAACUGGCAGGCUAGAGUUUUGUAGAGGGUAUUGGAAUUUCCAGUGUAGCGGUGAAAUGCGUAGAGAUUGGAAGGAACAUCAGUGGCGAAGGCGCCCCCUGGACAAAGACUGACGCUCAUGUACGAAAGCGUGGGGAGCAAACAGGAUUAGAUACCCUGGUAGUCCACGCCGUAAACGAUGUCUACUCGGAAUUUGGUAACUUAGUUACUGGGUUCCCAAGCUAACGCAUUAAGUAGACCGCCUGGGGAGUACGGCCGCAAGGUUAAAACUCAAAUGAAUUGACGGGGGCCCGCACAAGCGGUGGAGCAUGUGGUUUAAUUCGAUGCAACGCGAAGAACCUUACCUACUCUUGACAUCCUCAGAACUAGCAGAGAUGCUUUGGUGCCUUCGGGAACUGAGAGACAGGUGCUGCAUGGCUGUCGUCAGCUCGUGUUGUGAAAUGUUGGGUUAAGUCCCGUAACGAGCGCAACCCUUGUCCUUAGUUACCAGCACGUAAUGGUGGGGACUCUAAGGAGACUGCCGGUGACAAACCGGAGGAAGGUGGGGACGACGUCAAGUCAUCAUGGCCCUUACGACCUGGGCUACACACGUGCUACAAUGGCCGGUACAACGAGCUGCAACCCGCGAGGGGGAGCCAAUCUCAUCAAACCUCGCCUCAGUUGGAAUCGGAGGCUGCAACUCGCCUCCGUGAACGCGGAGUCGCUAGUAACCGCAGGUCAGCACCACUGCGGUGAAUACGUUCCCGGGCCUUGUACACACCGCCCGUCACGUCAUGGAAGCCGGUAACACCUGAAGUCGCCGCGCCAACCUUCGGGAGGUAGGCGCCUAAGGUGGGACUGGUGACUGGGACGAAGUCGUAACAAGGUAACC